GUCGAGCGAACGGACGAGAAGCUUGCUUCUCUGAUGUUAGCGGCGGACGGGUGAGUAACACGUGGAUAACCUACCUAUAAGACUGGGAUAACUUCGGGAAACCGGAGCUAAUACCGGAUAAUAUUUUGAACCGCAUGGUUCAAAAGUAAAAGACGGUCUUGCUGUCACUUAUAGAUGGAUCCGCGCUGCAUUAGCUAGUUGGUAAGGUAACGGCUUACCAAGGCAACGAUGCAUAGCCGACCUGAGAGGGUGAUCGGCCACACUGGAACUGAGACACGGUCCAGACUCCUACGGGAGGCAGCAGUAGGGAAUCUUCCGCAAUGGGCGAAAGCCUGACGGAGCAACGCCGCGUGAGUGAUGAAGGUCUUCGGAUCGUAAAACUCUGUUAUUAGGGAAGAACAUAUGUGUAAGUAACUGUGCACAUCUUGACGGUACCUAAUCAGAAAGCCACGGCUAACUACGUGCCAGCAGCCGCGGUAAUACGUAGGUGGCAAGCGUUAUCCGGAAUUAUUGGGCGUAAAGCGCGCGUAGGCGGUUUUUUAAGUCUGAUGUGAAAGCCCACGGCUCAGCCGUGGAGGGUCAUUGGAAACUGGAAAACUUGAGUGCAGAAGAGGAAAGUGGAAUUCCAUGUGUAGCGG
This 638-nucleotide ribosomal RNA is filed under the name uncultured Staphylococcus sp. RNAcentral describes it as "bacterial SSU rRNA". It matches the Rfam family "Bacterial small subunit ribosomal RNA", at positions 61 to 681 of the family's 1533-position model. The record is from RNAcentral. Lineage: Bacteria; Bacillati; Bacillota; Bacilli; Caryophanales; Staphylococcaceae.